AGACCAUUGAUUGGCUAUAUGUUUCCCAUGUUGCUUUGUGGAGUUGGACGUAACACCAUUUAUUGGAACUCCGUUUCCCGUUCCAUUUUCGGAGUUGGAUGUAAGACCAUUUGUUGGCAAUCCGUUUCCAGCUUUUAUUCUUUUUUUGAACCUUGCUUAUUUGCUUAUUGCUUUGUGUUGCCUAAUUCCAAAGGAUGGUACUUGCUUGGAUUAUCUACAUAUGAUCUCAAGAGAGGAACUCCUAUGAAGUUUUG
RNAcentral lists this long non-coding RNA (254 nucleotides) under Lathyrus oleraceus (garden pea). RNAcentral's name for it is "Pisum sativum (pea) long non-coding RNA (PSAT_LNC019650)". The record is from RNAcentral. Lineage: Eukaryota; Viridiplantae; Streptophyta; Magnoliopsida; Fabales; Fabaceae.